This is a long non-coding RNA of Pseudophryne corroboree (corroboree frog), 737 nucleotides long. RefSeq lists it as uncharacterized. The record is from RefSeq and is a predicted model, not a curated record. NCBI's taxonomy places the organism in Eukaryota, Metazoa, Chordata, Amphibia, Anura, Myobatrachidae. The transcript has 3 exons.
UGCGUGCUCUGCAGCCAUUUUGUGAACCUGCAGAGAGGUGUGAGGAGGUGCAGAGCUAGCAAUUUGGUUGUUUGCUGUGGAUAUCGUUUGGACACCCCAGCAGGCUUUAUUCCAGGACAGUCAGGAGGAUUCCUGUUACCCGGAGGAGAGCCAUUUUAGGAGCUUUUACUACAUUUGUAGAGAUGUCAAAGGACAAGCAGACCCGAUCCGCCCCUUCCCCCACCCCCUCAGAUCUAUCCCUGCAUAGCAACGAGGAGUGGGAGCCAACCCAGGAGGCGGAUACGACCGACCAGGCAUGUAGUGACCAGCCGCGGUCGUCAAGGGCCCAUGAGAAGUCCAAGAAAAAGCCUAGUAGAAAGGCAAGAAGCCAGCCAGAGGAGCAGUCGGAGGAGGAAGCCUCUGGUGAAGAUGCAGGACCGAAAAAGUCGCGUGGACCCAGAUACACUGAGGCGGAAAACUGUACCCUAGUGGAUUGCGUCGACAGGUCCUACGACGUUUUGUAUGGACUAAGGGCACAGACAACAGCAGCUAGGACAAAGCGAAGCAUCUGGGAAUCCAUUGCGAGUCAAGUCACUGCAAUAUCUGGAAACCGCCGGAGCACCAGAAAUUGCUUGAAGCGGUACAGUGAUUGCCGUAGACAGACCAAGAAGAAGAUGGGGAUUCAGCGCCGACAUGAGACAGCUACGGGAGGUGGCCCGGCUCUCAACCUGAAGUGGCUAGGACAUCGCCAGCGCACG